This 447-nucleotide ribosomal RNA is filed under the name uncultured bacterium. RNAcentral's name for it is "partial 16S ribosomal RNA". It matches the Rfam family "Bacterial small subunit ribosomal RNA", at positions 328 to 792 of the family's 1533-position model. The record is from RNAcentral.
GUUCCAGACUCCUACGGGAGGCAGCAGUGGGGGAUAUUGCACAAUGGAGGAAACUCUGAUGCAGCGACGCCGCGUGAGGGAAGACGGUCUUCGGAUUGUAAACCUCUGUCUUUGGGGAAGAAAAUGACGGUACCCAAAGAGGAAGCUCCGGCUAACUACGUGCCAGCAGCCGCGGUAAUACGUAGGGAGCGAGCGUUGUCCGGAAUUACUGGGUGUAAAGGGAGCGUAGGCGGGAAAGCAAGUCAGAUGUGAAAACCAUGGGCUCAACCUGUGGCCUGCAUUUGAAACUGUUUUUCUUGAGUACUGGAGAGGCAGACGGAAUUCCUAGUGUAGCGGUGAAAUGCGUAGAUAUUAGGAGGAACACCAGUGGCGAAGGCGGUCUGCUGGACAGCAACUGACGCUGAGGCGCGAAAGCGUGGGGAGCAAACAGGAUUAGAUACCCCAGUA